AAAAGACAACAGCUCAACCAAAAGCAAAGGUGAUUUACCUAAUGAGCGGUUUCCGUUGUGUUGGAGGCGCUGGGGGAUUCACAAUAGGUGGUGGUGCCAUAAGUUCAGCAGGCUUGGGCAGGAAACAGAAAAUAUAAGAUACAGGCAAUAUCUGAGAUAAAACAGCAAUAUCGUUUCCAGCUUAUUUACCAUGCACCAUACCAAAAAAAUGAAAAAGUAUAUGCCAAGCAAAACCAACAAAAGUCAGAAGCAACAAGAAAAGUGGGUUUUCAAGAUCUGCCAGUAACGUCCCAAAAACUGCCUGUACAACUUUUAUUAGGGGAAAUAAGCAGGACAGCAUCCACAAACAAUUAUUUUAAGCUAGAAACAUUUAAGAUCAACUCAAAAGAAGAAAAAUGUGUACCACCACUGAAAAUUCAUACCAAAUAACCUCUCACAUGAAUGACAGCAUAAUAAUUUUAACUUGAAUAUUACCAAGAAAGGUU
Molecule: long non-coding RNA, 485 nt
Filed under: Eucalyptus grandis
Lineage: Eukaryota; Viridiplantae; Streptophyta; Magnoliopsida; Myrtales; Myrtaceae
Description: long non-coding RNA (EGRA_LNC006488)
Source: RNAcentral